UACGUAGGGUGCGAGCGUUGUCCGGAGUUACUGGGCGUAAAGGGUGUGUAGGCGGUUGUUUAAGUUUGGUGUGAAAUCUCCCGGCUCAACUGGGAGGGUGCGCCGAAUACUGAGCGACUAGAGUGCGGGAGAGGAAAGUGGAAUUCCUGGUGUAGCGGUGAAAUGCGUAGAUAUCAGGAGGAACACCGAUGGCGAAGGCAGCCUUCUGGGCCAACACUGACGCUCAUGCACGAAAGCGUGGGGAGCAAACAGG
This 253-nucleotide ribosomal RNA is filed under the name uncultured bacterium. RNAcentral's name for it is "partial 16S ribosomal RNA". It matches the Rfam family "Bacterial small subunit ribosomal RNA", at positions 524 to 776 of the family's 1533-position model. The record is from RNAcentral.